Molecule: ribosomal RNA, 168 nt
Filed under: uncultured bacterium
Lineage: Bacteria
Description: partial 16S rRNA
Rfam family: Bacterial small subunit ribosomal RNA
Source: RNAcentral
ACUCCUACGGGAGGCAGCAGUGAGGAAUAUUGGUCAAUGGGCGCAGGCCUGAACCAGCCAAGUAGCGUGAAGGAUGACUGCCCUAUGGGUUGUAAACUUCUUUUAUAUGGGAAUAAAGUUUUCCACGUGUGGAAUUUUGUAUGUACCAUAUGAAUAAGGAUCGGCUAA